Molecule: ribosomal RNA, 468 nt
Filed under: uncultured bacterium
Lineage: Bacteria
Description: partial 16S ribosomal RNA
Rfam family: Bacterial small subunit ribosomal RNA
Source: RNAcentral
GAUGAACGCUGGCGGCGUGCUUAACACAUGCAAGUCGAACGGAAAGGCCCAAGCUUGCUUGGGUACUCGAGUGGCGAACGGGUGAGUAACACGUGGGUGAUCUGCCCUGCACUUCGGGAUAAGCCUGGGAAACUGGGUCUAAUACCGGAUAGGACGACGGUUUGGAUGCCAUUGUGGAAAGUUUUUUCGGUGUGGGAUGAGCUCGCGGCCUAUCAGCUUGUUGGUGGGGUAAUGGCCUACCAAGGCGUCGACGGGUAGCCGGCCUGAGAGGGUGUACGGCCACAUUGGGACUGAGAUACGGCCCAGACUCCUACGGGAGGCAGCAGUGGGGAAUAUUGCACAAUGGGGGCAAGCCUGAUGCAGCGACGCCGCGUGGGGGAUGACGGCCUUCGGGUUGUAAACUCCUUUCGCUAGGGACGAGGCGUUUUUGUGACGGUACCGGGAGAAGAAGCACCGGCUAACUACGUG